Molecule: long non-coding RNA, 3493 nt
Organism: Rhinopithecus roxellana (golden snub-nosed monkey)
Lineage: Eukaryota; Metazoa; Chordata; Mammalia; Primates; Cercopithecidae
Exons: 3
Source: RefSeq, a predicted model, not a curated record
CUGAUAAAUGAAUAAGCAAAAUGUGGUGUAUAAACAUAAUGGAAUUUUAUUCAGCCUUAAAAGAGAAGGAAGUUCUGACAUUUGUUACAAUAUGAAUGAACCUUGACAUUAUGCUAUGUGAAAUAAGGCAGCAGUAGAAAACUCAUAUGGUGUGAUUUCCCUUACAUGAGGUACCUAAGGUAUUCAAAUUCAUAAAGACAGAAAGUAGGAGGGUGACGGCCAGGGACUGUGGGGAGGAGGAAAUGGGGAGUUAUUAUUUAAUGAUAUAGAAUUUGAGCUUUGCCAGAUAAAGAGGAAUUCUGCAGGAAAAUGGGGGUGACUGUUAUAUGACAUUAUGAAUGGAUUUAGCAUCAAAUACUACAUUUAAAAAUGUUAAGAUGGUCAAUUUUGUGGUAUGUAUUUUUAAGACAAUAAGACAUUGGGGAAAAAGGGGAUAAUUGGAAGUGAGAAAAGAUGGAAUAAAUUGCACCUAGGAAAUUCUGAUCAACUUACACAUAAGAGAAUUAAGCUACUAUGCAAAACUGAUGAAAGAAGACAUGAGAGUAAAGUAUAGUAUUUAUUAUUUCAAAAUGAAUCAAGGAAAUAAUUGGAAAUCACACCACCAUCAAAUAGUAUGUAGAACAGAAGAGAAAUUUGGCAGUGUGAAUGAGCUACAUUUCAUUUUUCAUAUAAGACCGUUAACCACUUUCUGCUGUGAUAAAUCUUAGCAAAACCAGGAGUCCAAGCAUAUAUGUCUUUUUUUCCUCCAGAGUGUUCAUCAAAUUGAGUUAGGCAACUUUACUUUCACACACCUGUGAUGCCUCAGGAGCCACCUCGACAUACACAUGUCAAGAGAAUUAUUAAUUCUAUAUCUGACGAUGUCUCAAUUCCACUUUCACCAUACAAAGCAGAGAUCAAAGGUGUCACUCACAGAUACUCAUCUAUUCUGCCUUAGCUGUUAAAUAACUGUCCAGUCAUUCAGUGAAGACCCUCUUGUUUCCCAAGUGAUGUACGUGGUUUCAAGUGACUUACAUCUUGAACAGGAUUUAUUAUCAAUCAGUCAAGUAAGUGGAAAAAAAUUUAGUAGAGAGUAUGCUAUUUCAAUGUCCAUCUUUCUUUAGGUACACUAGGAAGUUACCUUAACACACAAGACUCUCAAGCAGUAUUUUCUCCUUCCUAGGUAAUGGUGCUUCUAAGGAAAUAGCGUUCUUUGAAUCCUAUAUAGGAUAAUCCCAGGAUGAUGAUGUAAGAAACACAAAGUGGGACAGAGAAGAAUGCCAUUAUCCACGAGGAAUGCCAUUCUUACCGGGAGGGUCAGAGCUGAAGUUGAUGUCAGAGAUAUAACGAUGCUGGUGGAAACUCUGGGGUACAGCAUGGAUGUGAAAGAAAAUGUCACUGUUUCAGACAUGACUACAGAACUGAAGACAUUUGCUCAUUGCCCAGAGCACAAGACCUUUGACAGUCCCUUCCUGGUGUUCAUGUCUCAUGGUAUUCAGGAAGGAUUUGUGGGAAGAAGUAGUCUGAGCAAGUCCCAGACCUGUUAGAAGUCAAAGAAGUCUUUCAAAUGUUGAAUAUCAGGAACUGUCCAAGUUUGAAGGACAAACCCAAGGUGAUCAUCAUCCAGGCCUGCCGUGGUGGUGAGUGCUGAUGUCUUUGAGAACACCAGACAUUCAAAUACUGACUUCAUCCGUAUGCAUCCAGGAUUUUUCCCUUUCUUUAUGUUUACUGCUUAAUGUGAAAGAACACAUACCAUCAGUACACAAUAAUGUGGCUUCUGUGAAUUGUAUUGCUGGUUGGGAGAUGUUUGUUCUGUAUUUGUAUUAGUCAGGGAUCUCUAGAGGGGCAGAACUAAUAGGAUAAAUAUAUAUUAUAUAUAUAUAGGAUUUUAUGGGAUAAUUAACUCAUGUGAUCACAAAGUGAAGUCCCACAAUAAGUCGUCAGCAAGCUGAGGAGCAAGGAAAUCAGUCCGAGUCCCCAAACUUCAAAAGUAGAGAAGUCAACAGUGCAGCCUUCUGUCCAUGGCCAAAGGCCCAAAAGUCCCUGGCAAGUCUGUGGUGUAACUCCAAGAGACCAAACACCGAAGAACUUGGAGUCUGAUGUUUGAGGGCAGGAAACAUGCAGCAUGGAAGAAAGAUGGAGACUGGAAGACUCAGGAAGUCAAGUCCUUCCAACUCUGCCUCCUUUAUUCUAUCUGUGUUGGCAGCUGAGUAGAUGGUACCCAUCCAGAUUUAAGAUGGGUCUGCCUCUCCCAGUUCACUGACUCAAAUGGUAAUCUCCUUGGGCAGCACCCUCACAGACACACCCAGGAACAAUUGUUUGCAUCCUUCAAUCCAAUCAAGUUGACAUUCAGUACUAACCAUCACAGUAUUUAAAUUUGAGACUCUGAUGUUUGAAUGUUGUUAAAAUUUGAGGAUUAGAAAAGGUAAAAUUUGUUGAAAAGACUGUUACUGGGAUGUAUGUGUUUAGGGGCAUGUGAAUAAAUGAUAGAGUCAACACAUUAAUAAAUACGAUUGCACACAGGUUAAGAGGAGAAUGUGGUUCUCUUGGCAGUUGCUAGUUGCAGAAGACAAAUCUUGUAUUUCCUGAGAACCGUGGGGUUGUGUGGUUAAAAGAUUCAAUAGAAGCCUCUGGAAACACAAGCUGACCGUAUCUAGAAGACUUUCAGGAUGAUGCUAUUAAAAAAGCCCACAAAGAGGAGGAUUUUAUUUCUUUCUGCUCUUUUACACCAGAUAAUGAGUUUCUACACAGGAUAUCUUUUGUUGGGGUUAUCAAUACAGAAACAUACACUCACCCGCUAGAGCACAGAUACUGGUGUUGACUUUAGAUAAGAUUUUUGAAAACCAACUCAAGCUUGGCUCCAAGUUAUAAACUCAAUUCCCUUUAUCCAAGGAGAUUAUAUAUAUAUUCACUGAAUUAGUAAUCACUGAAUUUCUCUGAGGUGCAAAAUAUUUUCCUUAAACUGUGAGCAACCAUAGAGAAUUUGGUGGAAAAUGAUCUAUGCUGGAGUACAUUAGAAUCUGACUCCACAUAGAAAAGGUCUGCAAUGUUGGGAUCAUUCAGCAGUCCAAUUUGCCCAGACUUCAACUAUUUAUUGAAUAGUGGGAGCAGAGGGUAGAGAAGCAGAAAAGCAAAAGAAGCACAUUGGAACCCUACCUUAAAGUGGGUGUUACCUAGACGUAUGAAGUACAUAAAACAUAAUAUAUCUGAAUAAUUCUAAAUUUGAGCUUUGGUGUGAUAACUUUGCUUUUAUAGACUGACACAACCAUCUAGUACUUGGUAAAUUAAUUUCAUUUUUUUAGCUUCUCUGGGCUUUCUUUGAGUUCCUUACUAAUAGAUGUGAAUAUAGAUAUCAUUGUUCUAAGGAUUGAAUGAGUUAAUGUAUGCAAAAUAUUUAGCGUGGUCCAGAGUAAAGAAGGUAUUAAACAACUGCUAUCAUUGAAGAUGUUUCUACUUUGUAACUUAACAUGGUUAACUUCCUUAUCAAGGUUUAAAUAAAAGUCAUUUGAAUCUUUUC